UACGUAGGGGGCGAGCGUUGUCCGGAUUUAUUGGGCGUAAAGAGCUCGUAGGCGGUUUGGUAAGUCGGGUGUGAAAUCUCCACGCUCAACGUGGAGGGGCCACUCGAUACUGCCAUGACUCGAGUCCGGUAGAGGAGUGUGGAAUUCCCAGUGUAGAGGUGAAAUUCGUAGAUAUUGGGAAGAACACCGGUGGCGAAGGCGGCUCACUGGCUCAUUACUGACGCUCAGGCGCGAUAGCGUGGGGAUCAAACAGG
Molecule: ribosomal RNA, 254 nt
Filed under: uncultured bacterium
Lineage: Bacteria
Description: partial 16S ribosomal RNA
Rfam family: Bacterial small subunit ribosomal RNA
Source: RNAcentral